UUCACUUCUUAUUUUAGCGUCGCACUCGUUACAUAUUAAAUUUCUUAAUUUUAAUUUUUUAUUUUAUAUUUAUCUAACGCAACUUCUUAAAUAUUAAGUGUAUUUUUUAUGGACAUAAGCGGUUUGCCUUUUAAUUUUAAUAUAAAAACAACUAAUAAUAAUACUUAUUAAGUAAUGCCUAUAACAUUGAUACUGCUUCAUUAAUAUAAAUAUAAAUAUGUGCUGCAAUAAUCACGAGCUCCUCGAAGUAACCUUCCCCGGACUACGAGCUGGAGACCACGGACAACUGGUCGGAGCUUGCUGAAUAGAUGGAACCGCGCGAGAAGUACCAGCAGCUCUCGAAUAUAAGAAGAAACAUCAGGAUCAGUUCGCGGCAAGAAUAAUUUUGAGAUUUUAGGCGCGAGUUGGAUCACAUUCCGGAGGCUGCCUUCUACAUGGUGGGCACCAUAGAGGACGUGAUCGCCAAGUCGCAGGAACUCGCCAAAAGCGUGUAGAGUCGAACUGUUUUAUAAGUUAUUUUAUUCGAAUAAAGAUGUUGUAUUU
Molecule: RNA transcript, 543 nt
Organism: Bombyx mori (domestic silkworm)
Lineage: Eukaryota; Metazoa; Arthropoda; Insecta; Lepidoptera; Bombycidae
Exons: 3
Source: RefSeq, a predicted model, not a curated record